This 253-nucleotide ribosomal RNA is filed under the name uncultured bacterium. RNAcentral describes it as "partial 16S ribosomal RNA". It matches the Rfam family "Bacterial small subunit ribosomal RNA", at positions 524 to 776 of the family's 1533-position model. The record is from RNAcentral.
UACGUAGGGUGCAAGCGUUAAUCGGAAUUACUGGGCGUAAAGCGUGCGCAGGCGGUUAGGUAAGACAGUUGUGAAAUCCCCGGGCUCAACCUGGGAAUUGCAUCUGUGACUGCAUAGCUAGAGUACGGUAGAGGGGGAUGGAAUUCCGCGUGUAGCAGUGAAAUGCGUAGAUAUGCGGAGGAACACCGAUGGCGAAGGCAAUCCCCUGGACCUGUACUGACGCUCAUGCACGAAAGCGUGGGGAGCAAACAGG